GCCCCGAUGGCGGAAUUGGUAGACGCGCUAGCUUCAGGUGCUAGUAAUCGCAAGGUUGUGGAGGUUCGAGUCCUCUUCGGGGCACCA
Molecule: transfer RNA, 87 nt
Filed under: Rickettsiales bacterium
Lineage: Bacteria; Pseudomonadati; Pseudomonadota; Alphaproteobacteria; Rickettsiales
Description: tRNA-Leu
Rfam family: tRNA
About the family: Transfer RNA (tRNA) molecules are approximately 80 nucleotides in length. Their secondary structure includes four short double-helical elements and three loops (D, anti-codon, and T loops). Further hydrogen bonds mediate the characteristic L-shaped molecular structure. tRNAs have two regions of fundamental functional importance: the anti-codon, which is responsible for specific mRNA codon recognition, and the 3' end, to which the tRNAs corresponding amino acid is attached (by aminoacyl-tRNA synthetases). tRNAs cope with the degeneracy of the genetic code in two manners: having more than one tRNA (with a specific anti-codon) for a particular amino acid; and 'wobble' base-pairing, i.e. permitting non-standard base-pairing at the 3rd anti-codon position.
Source: RNAcentral